RNAcentral lists this long non-coding RNA (751 nucleotides) under Monodelphis domestica (gray short-tailed opossum). Its description in RNAcentral is "lncRNA (ENSMODG00000031219.2)". Lineage: Eukaryota; Metazoa; Chordata; Mammalia; Didelphimorphia; Didelphidae. The record is from RNAcentral.
AAGCGCUCGGCCUAGGUGAGGUAAGGGAGCCAGCGAGUUGGGCAUUGCCCUUUCUGUCUUCCUUGGUUCCUCAGCCCAAGCUUGUCCCGAAGGCCUCAAUCAACAAAAGGACCCUGGGCAAGAGCCACUCCAGCAUCUUUGGCUACGCCGCUCGUCUCUGGCACAGGAAGGAGCCCCAGUGGAACAUGGAGAUCCCAACCUAGGGAUUCCGGGGUACGGCUGCCGCGUGUCCCCGCCUGCUGACUCACAAAGCCCGGGGUGCCAGGAGGAGCGCCAGAUCAUCUGAAGUAAUGGGGAACGUUUAUUCUGGAGAAGAUUAAAAGCAUGAAGGAAAAGAUGGCCAUCUUCAAUAUUUGAAUGGCUGUUCAUUUGAGGGUCUGACGCUGGUGACGUUAAGGUACCGAGCUGGAAAAGAUGAGUAGAAGUUGCAAAAAAAGUAAAUUUUGAUCCCUAACAGAGAAAAAAAUAUUUUCUAACAGUGAGAAUCAUCUCAAGAGUCUCGUGGGCUUCCUGUGAGUUAGGGAAUUGACUCAAUCUUUGUACAAAGCCUGGAUGACUAUUUCUCAGUUGUACUUUGGAGAUCAUUUUUUCAACUACUUUUGAGGUCCUUCCCAACUUUGAACUCUGUGACUUGUAGUUACUUGUGUAAUCCGUAUAUCCAUAAUAUGAGGUAGCUAUAAAGGCCCUACUCAGUUUUAUGAUACCAUGACUCAAUAAUAAACAAAGAAUUACAUUUAUUUAUUUUAAAAAC